GAGGGGCCCGCGCCCGAUUAGCUUGUUGGUAGGGUAACGGCCUACCAAGGCUUUGAUCGGUAGCCGGUCUGAGAGGAUGGCCGGCCACACUGGAACUGAGACACGGUCCAGACUCCUACGGGAGGCAGCAGUGGGGAAUCUUGCGCAAUGGGCGAAAGCCUGACGCAGCGACGCCGCGUGGGGGAUGAAGCUUCUCGGAGUGUAAACCCCUUUCGACCCGGACGAAUGGCCCGCAAGGGACGUGACGGUACGGGUAGAAGAAGCCCCGGCUAACUACGUGCCAGCAGCCGCGGUAAGACGUAGGGGGCCAGCGUUGCUCGGAAUUACUGGGCGUAAAGGGUCCGUAGGCGGUGCGGCAAGUCGGGGGUGAAAUCUCUGGGCUUAACUCAGAGGCUGCCUCCGAAACUGCCGUGCUCGAGUGCGGGAGAGGCGAGCGGAAUUGCAGGUGUAGCGGUGAAAUGCGUAGAUAUCUGCAGG
RNAcentral lists this ribosomal RNA (477 nucleotides) under uncultured Acidobacteriota bacterium. Its description in RNAcentral is "bacterial SSU rRNA". It matches the Rfam family "Bacterial small subunit ribosomal RNA", at positions 224 to 704 of the family's 1533-position model. The record is from RNAcentral. Lineage: Bacteria; Pseudomonadati; Acidobacteriota.